Molecule: non-coding RNA, 1484 nt
Organism: Macaca mulatta (Rhesus monkey)
Lineage: Eukaryota; Metazoa; Chordata; Mammalia; Primates; Cercopithecidae
Source: RefSeq, a predicted model, not a curated record
CCCAGGCCAAAAGGGGUACCAGGGGUGCAGGAGGGGAGGUGGGUGUGAGGCACAGAUGACCCUGACCUUGAGGAAGGGGCAGUGGUGACCGUGAACCUGCGAAUCCACCAAGAAGAAUCGGGUGAGACACACCCUGCCUCUGUGACAGGCCCUGUGGGGAGUCGCGUUCAUGGGGACCCGCCCUCCGGCAAGGCUGUGGUCAGUGAUCACUUACACUUGAGUCCCUCAAAGGGCUGGGGUUCCCCAAAGGGGGUCCGUGCGGGGGUCAUGAGCUCUGUCCUCACCCAGUUCUACCUGUGAGUAGCAGUUUGGAUGAAAUUUGAGAGUUUGCAGGAGGGCCAGGACCAAGACCCAAGCCUUCCCUCCUGCUGGACUGAUUGAGGGUCAAAUUCAUCUCCACAAGUCACACAGGGCAAAACUCACACCCACGUAGCCAGCCAGCAGGGAGGUGGGGCCGCACAGCACCUCAGGGAACAGAAAGACCAAGAGCAAGUUCAAGGGUAACAUGGCCACCUGAGAAGGAAACGUGGGUUGACUUAAUAGAGGUACGUUAGGUAGAAUAGAGGAGGUGAUCUGGUUCUGCCCAGUACUGCUUAGCCACGAUGAAGGGUUUGGUUUCAGACCUCCAAGGAGAUCAUAAAAGCUCAUGCUAACAUUGCACCCACCACACGCCAGACACUGUGCUAGAAACUCUGCAUAUAUUAACAUGUUGGAUACUUAUGGUAACCCUGUGACAUCUGUGCUGUUAUUUCCAAUUUACAGAUGAGGUGCAGACAUGUUCGUGAACUUGCCUGAGUUCCUACGGCAACUAAGUGGUGGGGCCGGGGCCCAAGCCGAGGCAGCCUGGCCCCACAGCCCGUGUGACUAACCACAUCCCGUGUGGCUUACAGGACCUCCCUAUGCCAUGGGCAGAGGUACUGACUGGCUUCACAGACCCCCGGACAACAGAUGGUGAGCGAUGGUUUUGCAGGCCAUCCCUACCUCAGAACACCCCCUUCCACCCUGACAGGCCUGGCUUCCACUGGGCACUGAGGAAAGACCUGAUGGACUGAGCGUGGUGGGCUUGGGAGCGAGAAAGGCUUUCAGCCAGGACCCAGGAGAGGCCCUGUGGAGGGGUCAGUUACCCCUGGUGCUACUUCCCAUUCGUCAGCCAGGCCCGCUGAGGAUGACCUACUCUCCCUUCUUCCUACAAGGUACUGCGGCCCCAGGGUGUCCAGAGGAAUCAGUGGCCAAGACCUUUCGUUGGUCCCCAUUCUCCUCUUCCUCCUUUACUAAUUGAACUCCAAAUUUAAGCUGGACCCACCAAAAUACUACAUUUCUAGCUGCCCUUGCAGCUAGGACCACAUUCCAGCCAACAGGAUGUGAGUGGAGUUGAAGUGUUCCACUGGUGAACGACUCCCUUAAAAGGAAUGGGCCUAGGCCGGGCGCGGUGGCUCAAGCCUGUAAUCCCAGCACUUUGGGAGGCUGAGACGGGCGGAUCACGA